This 306-nucleotide ribosomal RNA is filed under the name uncultured bacterium. RNAcentral's name for it is "partial 16S ribosomal RNA". It matches the Rfam family "Bacterial small subunit ribosomal RNA", at positions 507 to 807 of the family's 1533-position model. The record is from RNAcentral.
GACAGCAGCAGCCGCGGUAAUACGGAGGGUGCAAGCGUUAAUCGGGAUUACUGGGCGUAAAGCGCACGCAGGCGGUUUGUUAAGUCAGAUGUGAAAUCCCCGAGCUUAACUUGGGAACUGCAUUUGAAACUGGCAAGCUAGAGUCUUGUAGAGGGGGGUAGGAUUCCAGGUGUAGCGGUGAAAUGCGUAGAGAUCUGGAGGAAUACCGGUGGCGAAGGCGGCCCCCUGGACAAAGACUGACGCUCAGGUGCGAAAGCGUGGGGAGCAAACAGGAUUAGAUACCCCUGUAGUCCCUGUCUCUUAUAC